Long non-coding RNA from Numida meleagris (helmeted guineafowl), 3126 nucleotides. RefSeq lists it as uncharacterized. NCBI's taxonomy places the organism in Eukaryota, Metazoa, Chordata, Aves, Galliformes, Numididae. The transcript has 3 exons. The record is from RefSeq and is a predicted model, not a curated record.
GGGAUCUUGCUGGGGAUCCCUCCAGUACCUGAGGUCUUCUGAAGAGAGAGAGAAAUCCCUUUGUACUUCCUGGCAGCCUGUAAGGCUGGAGAAGAUAAAGGAGAAACAGCAGCAGUUAGUCUCUUGGCAGUGAGGAGCUGGAUAGCUGAGACACCCCUCUGCACCCUAAAAUGUUGAGAAAAACACUUCUGAUAUGUAAGCCAAAUGUUCCAUUGCCAGUGAAUUACCACCAGUCAAGCUGAUGAAAGUCUAGGAUGGACAGCUGGAAAAAGGAAGCAAGAAGAUGAAAUGCUUCAAACUUGUUUCUAAAUCUUGACAGACUUAUCUCACUGAGAAACUGUGUGUCAUUUUGUCUGAACACUUCACAAUUUGCCUCAGUAAUUACACACUGCAUUUACUAUUUAAAUCUUUUAUUUUUAAAUACAAGAAUCCAACAAAUAAUUGCCUGUUAGUUAGAACAGUUGCUUGUCUGUGAAUACUUAAUUAGUCCCUUCCCUCAGCAACUGCUACUGACAGAGACGGGAUAGAAGGAGGUGUUUCGAAAGCUUGUUCUUACAGAUUUUUAUAAUGGAUUUUUUAAAAAGAUGAUAUCAUUAAUGCCAUCACAUCCCUGGAGAAAGGACUGAACAGCUCUGCCAUUCCUCUCAUGCUGACAGCUCUCUUGAAUCGAUCCUUGUAACUGUAAAUCAUAAUUAAGGAAGAUGACAAGAGAACAUCAUGUCUGAGACUUUCCAUUUCAGUGUGAGAGUAAUUGCAUCCCAGCAGCCCUGGUUUGGAAGCCACGAUGGGCUUCUGCCCCUGUCAGCUCACAAAGCCCCCUGCCUCCAGUGAUGCUCACUCUGUGUAUACCAGCAGCAGAUUUGGCUCGCUGCUUUUCAUGCAGUGAAAGUCAGGAUAAGUUUUCUCCCAGGGGGGGAAGGGUAUAGAUUAACAGAACUGGGAGAGUUUGCUUCAAUCAUUUACUUGUGGAAAGAUGUGAAGGUGAGGAGACCAUGCCAGAAUGGAAUGAGUGGUGCUGGUACUCUGCUCAGGAUGACACUUGCAAUCUCUCUCUCCCUCUUUGCUCUGGUUUCAUUAGUUUUUCCAAGUCCAUCUACAUUCAAAACAACCACUUGACUGAUCAGCAAUAAAGGAGGAGAAUGAAGCUGGGAAAGAUCAUACUAAAUCUCAUAUGACUCACUUUUCUUCCACUAAGGAUUUAAUGCACGCUUAUAGCUCAAGACUGAGCUAACCAAGAAAAAUUGAACACUGUUCUCAUGGGUUUAACAUAGACUUCAGGAGAAUCUAGUCACUCCCCACUGCUGCCAUCAGUGACAGGUUUCUGAUGCAGACCAGGAGUGUGGCUCAGGAGACACCCGUGCUGCUCUCUGGAUGCCUAAUUACUGCUGACCAUGGUGUAUUCCACCUGGAUUUACCCAGCAGACUGGGUGCUAUUGAUUCUGCAUGGUAACAUGAGAUUCAGAAUGGGCUUCAUAAUAGUUGGACAGGCUGCCUGCUUUGAAAAGUGUACUGUGUUGCACCCCAGUGAGUGAACUUUAAGAUAGUUCAGGAUGUUGACACAAACUGAAGUCAUACCACCAGACUACAAAAUAGACUUGCCCUUCAAAAGUCCUAGAAACUGCUGAUUAGGUGUGAGGAAAGGAAAACAAGAAAAAGCUGAAAAUUAGCUUUUUAACUUUCAGGGUAUGGCAGUGAAGUAUCAUCAUGCCAGCAAUUUAAUAUAAUUUCUGUGCUGGAAUUAUAUAUAUUUCAGCCAUGUGUCCUUGCUCCAGUCAAGCAAUAUGAUACAAUAUGUCAUGUCCAGCACUCUUAAAUUGCUGUUAUUUUGCCUACUUCCCUACCAUAUUGCUUCAUCAAGAAGGAAAUCCAAUGGGCUCUUGCUUGAGUUGACUCAGGGAGGAUUGUAUUGCUGGAUUUUCUAGUCAAAAUACAGUUUGUAGGCGAUCCUUUCACUUAUGACUCUAAAUCUGGCACUUUGAGUCUUUCCUUGAAUCACAGGACACAGUGAGAUCCCAGAGGAGUGUGAUCCCAGAGGCUUUUCCCUCAAUUUUCCUCAGAUGAGUCUAAAGAUUAAAACAGAGAAACGUUCCCCUCUUAUUAGCAGUCCCUGAUCUGCUCUUGCUGAAAUGGAAUAAGCUCUUGGCAUCUCCAGUACCCUUUUGUCUUACUGAGGGCAAUGAGUUUGGAGACUUGUUCAACACUGAUGUGUUCCCUGGCCCUUCUCUGCUUCUUGGUCUGAAGGGAGGAAGAUCACAGGCAGUUGGAGUCUGCCAGGUCUACCCAGCAGUCUCAUGGGUUCUUGUGCUGUCAGGAGCUGGGCCAGAUGCCUAAACCCAGCCCAGGGCUCUCCUGCUCCAGAUGUCCCAGGAACAGCUUCAACCCAGUGUUUCUGUUUAAAAGGCAUUUGAAAUGAGCCCGCUAUUGCCAAGAUAAAACUAGUUAGAGGAUUUUUUUUCCACUGACACCCACAUAAAAUCUUUUCAUUUGCAGUGUUUUAAUGGUGCUCUGUGUUUUUUUUUCUUUCACUGAAUAUGGAACCAAUCUGCGCCCAGUGCUUGCUUAUGUGUUACUGGGUUGGAUCAUCAUGAGCCACUGAGAUGUUUGCUUUUAGCAAAGGCAGAGGAUUCCUAUUCCAUCAGAAAACCCAUUUUUUCCCCUUCUUUUGUUUCCUCUUAAAAUCCUGUCAGGGUAGAUCAGUGAUCUUUAAGCAAGCUGCAAAUUCAUUGAAUCAACACUAUUUGUGCCCAAUUUUUCUUCCUUAAGCUCCGUGGCUAACUAAAGCAGCCACAGCAGAAAAACUGGAAUAGGGCAAGAAAGCAGAAUGCUGAGGUUUUAUUACCAAAACUGAGCUGCUGCUGUGACUCCUGAUGAUCUUUGAAAUUUACUGAAUUGUGACUAACACUAAAGUUGAUGCCAGAGUGAGCAGAUUUUUUUGCAAAUAUUCUUUUACUUGUACUGAGGAAUUUUUUUGUAGGUUUUGUCCUGCAGCCUAACAGCAACUGGCUACGAGAGUAGUGAGGUCUGUUUUGAAGACCAAACAUCAUCACUGAGCAAUUUGUAUGUGAUCCUGAAUGCCAUUUUACUGUUUUGACAUACCAAAUUGCUCUAAUGCUCUUAUUUCCAAAA